AUCAGAAGAUCGACGGUGUGGUUUUGUUAUUGGAGUCACAACAGUGCCUCAGUGUAUAUUGGGUUGUCAUUGGUCUGAAUGGGUGUAGGGAUUCAUCAGUUGCAGUUGGAUUUUGAAUCAUGUUGUAUUUUCUCAAGCCGCUAAUAUGGAUAAAAGUAGAGCUUGCAGUUCUCAGAAUUCUAACUCGUGGAAUUUCAUUAUUCCUUAAGUUCAGAUUUUGAUUUUGGUCUUAAUCCUUCUUUCAGGUUUCAUAAAACGUUUUGCAGGUGAUGUAGUUGGAAGUAAUAAUGUUUUAAUGCUACUCACAUUUACUAGCAUGCGGUGGUACGAUUUGGUUAAAUCAUGUCAUUACCGUCAAGACUAGGACUUUCGUCUGAGUUUCUACUUGUAAAUCUAAUGGGUCUUCAUCCCUUUC
This 415-nucleotide long non-coding RNA is filed under the name Brassica napus (rape). RNAcentral describes it as "long non-coding RNA (BNAP_LNC024450)". The record is from RNAcentral. Lineage: Eukaryota; Viridiplantae; Streptophyta; Magnoliopsida; Brassicales; Brassicaceae.